GGCCAUGGCUUAGCAGCAGAGCAUCCGCUGGGUAUGCAGAAGGUCCCAGGUUCAAACCUCGGCAUCUCCA
This 70-nucleotide transfer RNA is filed under the name Sphaerodactylus townsendi. RNAcentral describes it as "tRNA-Thr". The record is from RNAcentral. Lineage: Eukaryota; Metazoa; Chordata; Lepidosauria; Squamata; Sphaerodactylidae.